Molecule: non-coding RNA, 670 nt
Organism: Lonchura striata (white-rumped munia)
Lineage: Eukaryota; Metazoa; Chordata; Aves; Passeriformes; Estrildidae
Source: RefSeq, a predicted model, not a curated record
UUGGUUUUUUUUUUUUUUUUUUUUGGUUGGUUGGUUGGUUUUUUUCCCUGACUGCGCUUUCUAAGUUCAGAUGUCUCGCUUUCGGGAUUUUGUAAACCCGCGGUUCGUCCCGCUUUACUUCCGUGACGGCUGCGCGGCUUUCUGCCACCGCGACUGUCGGUGGGAUUCCCGUGCGCUCCGGCUGCUGAGGCAAAUGGGGGAUCCCGCCUUAAUAUCCGAUUUCGUGUUUCUCUUUCAGUGAUCCCAGUGACAGGAUGACACAGUUUAUGUAAGCUUGUGACUGCAUCAGAAGCUCUUCCACUUUUGAUUUGUUUAAACCAGCCAUGUUUGCCAAGUGUUUAAGGUUGGGCUGGGAAAGAUAGUGCUGUGGAUUGCUCAAGGGUGUAGGAGAGGCCAGGCAGGUUUCCCUCUGUGCUUUAAAAGGACUUAAGUGUUUCUAUGGCGGGGUGCCACGGCUCCCUUACACCGGCACGCUCAGCAGCCAUGCAGCACCAACGGGGAAAGACAUCUUCUAUUCGAUUAAUAACGUUUUGGAAUUCACAUGACAAAAAAACCCCUUCCUUUAAAUAUUUAAUUUCAUAUCACCAAUAUGUGCCAUUUCCAUUUUUAGUUGUCCAAAGCAUUUUAUAUGUAUCUGGUUCUAGUCUAUAAAACUGGCAAAUGAGUCUGA